RNAcentral lists this long non-coding RNA (19741 nucleotides) under Lactuca sativa (garden lettuce). RNAcentral's name for it is "long non-coding RNA (LSAT_LNC000469)". Lineage: Eukaryota; Viridiplantae; Streptophyta; Magnoliopsida; Asterales; Asteraceae. The record is from RNAcentral.
AAGGAGCUGAUCUCCUUUGGAAUGCUCUGUAAUGGUUGUUGUCAAGUCUUUCUGACUUUGUGCAUCAUCAUUACAAGAGGAUCAAUGCAUAUAAGUUUAGAAUCUAAUAGAUUUCAGUAAAUGGCAUGAAUUUGGAAUUCUUGCAUUUGCAGUAAGGAUUUGGGACUGUGAAAAGAGGAUCAUUGGAGUUAUGUUCAAUUGAUCUUUUUCACAAAGUAAAGAUCAUAGACAAACAUAGUAUGCAUACUUGGUGUAUGGCAUGACUAGUGUUUAGAAAACAUAGUGUACAUGCUUGGAGCAUGGGACAACUAUUGUUUUAAAUUCAAGAAUAAAGUUGAUAGCUGAAACAGUAUACAAUGAAUAAUGUGUAAUCAUAUGGUGAUAAAUAAAAGGUGUUUUAUUUAUGUUCAUAGGUUUUGAUACCAUAUUGGAUUCAAUUAUUAUUGUGUUUCACUUUGCAUGUUUUGACUUCCCGAAUAAACUGGGUUAUUCUUCCGGAAUGACUAAGUUAUUCAAACCAUCCACAGUCGGUCAUAUGUUGGAAGUAGAUAUGAAUUAAGACUGUCAUGGGUUGGCUUGUAGAGGUCUAAGGUGUUGGACAAAGGGCUACAACACUCAUGAGUGCUCAUAAGUUCUGAGUAUUGGAUUCAACCCGCGCUCAUUGGAAUCACUUCAUGGAUUUUAUCACGAGUGAUCAUGAGACGAUAAUAUCUUAUAUUCUUCAAACCUAGAGAUAUGAGUUGUUACUAUGAGUUGAUAGUACAUUGAUUGCACGAAAACGCAUUUGGUAACUCGGUGCUAUAAAACGUGCCUUUGUGUAUGAUUCAACAAGUAGUAGAACAAGCCAUAUGAGUCGAAGUUUAUCCAUUCCUUUUACCUUCGGGAUAAAAGCGAUAUCUGUGGGCCCCUCGAUGAUUUGAUGAUGACAAAUGGAAGUGCUCGGCCGGGCCAGGACUGAUUUGAUUUGUUCAAUUAGUCAGUCGUCAUAAAUCGGAAAUCGGGAAACAACAAAUGGACAGAGAGAAUGAUUAUAAUCCAUGUCUCAGUCCAUAUGAUAUCUAGAAUGGAGGAAUAUAUGAUCCCUUAUCUAAUGGACAAGUCAUUGACAAAGGUCAGAGUUCAUCUACAAGGUCAGAGUUCGACAGAAGCUUUUGAGAGCUACGAUUGCCAGUUGGUUCCUGAAGUCAUACGCAAUAAUAGUUUUAGACUUAUCCAAGUGGGAGACUGUUGGAUUAAUGUCUAAGUCCAUAACUAUAAUUGGUAAGACUUGACCCGACCCGGCAUGGUCCAUUUGGGUUGCAUACCAUCAUGCACUUGGAUAGACUAUAAUGAGAGAAAUAAGACACUUAUGGUUAUUAAUAUAUUAUAAGUUCUAGUAUAUUAAUAAUAAGAAUAAUAAGAUUAUUUAAUUAGUAUUGAUCAAGAAUUAAUAUAGGAUUAAUUAAGUGAUCAAAAGAAGACUAAUUAAAUAUAUGGGUUGAUUGUGUAAAUCAUCCAUACUUAUAUAGUGGGCUAAUGCUCCAUGGAUUGUCAAAUUGGGCUAAAACCCAUAAGAUGCUCCAUGGUGUAUAUGUACCCAUGGAUCAUGGAAAUGAAAGGCCAUGACAAUUAGAGUUUACAUGGUGUAACCCUAACUAUAUAAUGAUCUUAUUCUUGGAGAAAAUCGGCCACUAUGAGUGAUAGAAAUGGCUAGCCGAUUUUAUGAAGUGUUCCAAUUUCUCUCAAGUCAUUCCAUGUGUAUUUGGUGUUGUGUGAACCAUUUGAGGUGUCACACUUGAGGCACUAGGCACUCAAGCUUCAUGAAUACUUUCUACAUCAAAGAGGUAUGUAAUUCUAAUUUGAUAUAUUCAUAUGAAUCAUGUUAUUAUGCUAGUUAGGAUGAAUACCUUGGAAAGUUCAUAUUUGCAUGUAUAAUAGAGAAAACAUAGAUCCAAGGUAUUUAGGGUUUCAUGUACACUUAGGAGUGUUAGAAUGCUCAAUACCCAACAGUUAAGUGGUUAGUAGAGCGUGUAUGCUUAACCGGCACACUAAUCUGGGACCGUCAAUGUGUGGCAAAGGGUAGCUUGAUGUUAAUCAUAGAUCAAUGGAGUGUGUGUGGUUAACCAGCACAUUGAUUAGGUGAUUUGUAACAUGGGGUGUACCAAACUAAUUUUCAUGGUUAUUCACACCUUAUUUGUGAUGCUCGGCAUCCCAGUCACAAACUUGAAGGGCACAAUCGAUAUUUAAACAUGCCAUUGAAAAGUUCAAUGAAUAUCAAAGGAUCUAGGAAUUUCAAAUCCAAUUAAAACUUAAUAAUCUAUUUCGUUUUUCAUGGUGGAAAUUUGUAAAUCGUCAUUUACCUACCUUCAAAUAUUUUACAAUUGGAUUACAAAAUCCCUCUUCACAAUUGUAAAAUAUUGUGUUGGGUCCUUGCCUUAAUAUUUCAUUUUGGGUGUUAUAUUAAGGACUUAAAUCAGCUAACUUGACUUUCUCCCUUUAUAGAUGUCUAGGUCAGACAACUAUGGUCUUCUCGAAUCUCUUGGAAAAGGCUUUCCACAUGAAGAUGAUAUUCCACAAUAUCAUACUUCACUUCCUCCACCUCCUCCAAUUAUUUUCCCUAACUCACAAGCUCGAUGACUUGAAAAGUUCAAGGUCACUCAAGCCCUACUAGAAAUGAAAAUCAAGACGGAAAGUCUAUAUGUGCUCAUGUCUUGGACAUGAAGCUGCAUAUUAACAGGUUGGGAAUGUUGGGUGUCGUGUUCCCGAGGAAGUUGGCUAUUGACUUGGUUCUUCAGUCACUUCCCAAAUCAUAUAGUGAGGUCGUUAAAGACUACUAUGUGACAGAUCACGACAUGACCCUUAUUAGUCUUGCCUAUUUGCCGAUUGUUGUUGAAUCAACAAGGAUUUGGCGCAAUGAUAAAGCAAACAUGAUUGGAAGAUCUACUUCCCAAGUUGCCAUGGACAUCGACAAUGGAAACAUUGGAAGUCUAGAAAAGAUUUCUCUUUCCACGGAAAGGCAAAGGCUAAGCAUGAGAUUGCCCCGUGUACCAUUCCCAAUGAGUCCAUAUGUUUCUAUUGCCAAGAGAAGGGACAUUGGUUGUGAAGCUUCCCGGACUACCUGAAAGAUCUAAGAGAAGGUAGAAUCAAAAAGGUUUGACUCUGCUUCAGGUAGGUCCUCUAUCUAACUCUAUUAAGUUCCUAUUGGUAGAUUCUUAAUACAUGAUGUGAUAAGAUUACAUUUUUGAUGUUUUGUAGGAUCAAUGGAAGCUUAAAGGAAAGGCAUGCCAAGUCUGAUCGCGAAGAGAUGGAUUUCGAUCGCAUGGUUUGAUGAUCGGAUUUUUGAGCUUCUGCUUAAGAGUUAUGAUAGAUUGCUUAGAAAUUUUUAAUAACAUAGUUUUCAUUUGUAAUUGUAUUGUAAGGAAAAUUUUUUCCACACAUUUUUUAAAAUAAAGAAAAAUUUUGAUUUUAUCUUAUUUUAUAUUUCCUUGCAAUGGCAUAUGUGAAAAUUGAUGUUUGUAUUUUUAGCAAUAUGGACUUGAUUCUUUCAUUUGUGAUAGUGUAAAGAUUCUCAUCACCCAAGUUUCAUUCGGACAGAAACUUGGAUCAUGCAACUUGUAUUGUAUGUUGAAUGAGAACCUUCGUCUUUGGGAAAUUAAGACUAAUUCCUUGUUCACAUGUAUGUGUAAGUCAAGUGAAGGACUAGGGGAUCGGGUACACUUGGUUGUGCGCUGGUCAAGUCCAUCACAAAGAAUGAUAAGACUAUUUGUCAUGAUUUUCUAAUGUUAGUAAAUACGGUUAUGCUUAGAAGAUUAAGUAUAAUUUUGAGUCAUUGAAAAGUCUCAAUAUAUAGCAGACCGAAUAAGAAGAAUCAAAGUCGGCAGAAAGAUAAAAGUUUUUCCAAUCUGAAAAGAUGGGAUAGUACUUGAGUGUAAUGUUUUAUGAUCAUUAUGAAAACCAUAUCAGAAUUUGAUCCUCUAAGGACACCUUAGUGCAUUUGUUUGGCUAAGAAGAGGAAUCGGGAAUUGUUAAAAUGGUUAAACCAAUUAAGAUGAAUCAUACUUCGUUCCAAAAUCAAAUCUUAGAGUCAUCCUCCAAGAUUGUAUAUUGAGUGGCAUAUCAACAAAUGUAGAGUAAAAUGUUUUCUACUCUUGUACAUUUGAAAUUGGUAAGUUGUAAUGUUUUGGAUAAAACAAAGAUCAACUAAGACCGAUUGUCAAAAGUGUUUUUCUUGAUAAGAAAUCACACUAACUUUUGAAUAUUUGUUUAUCAAACAAUGUUUCUUUACAGAGAGAUACUUAUAUGUCAAGAGGUCAGUGGGAGUCGUAAAGAUCUUGAAAAGUUUUAAGAACUAAUCAAGAGUCAAACCUAUUGUUAAUCACUAGCACACGACUUGAGGUUUGUAACCUAUCGUGUUUGACAUAUUAUUAUUUUUGUGCCCAUUCCAGUUGGUUGACUAUGCAUGUGAGUUCUAUGAGUUCUCAAUUGUUUGCAUUACAGCCUGGAAGCAAUGGUAGGCCCUUGUGCUGCCAGGUGGCAAGGAAUUAAGAUUAGAUAAGUUCAGUCCAUAUGAGUUUGGAUUUGUCACUAACCUUGUCUUAAGAUUAUGGUUAUGACAAAUUCACAUCGAUAGGAACACAUACACCAUAAAAAAAAUCUAAGUGUCAUAAGGUUUCUCUCCAAUUCAUGAAAAUGAUUAUGAGGAAACGCUUUCACUAAGUAGAUUUUAAAGAGUUAGCAAUUGUGAUAUUUGCAUUCUCGAAUUCCAUUAUGAUUAUGGUAUCCCUCUUCAUAGUUCGAAUUGUGAGAAAUAGAAAAAUGUCUAAACAUUUGAUACUUAUUGAUGUAAGUUCUAAAAUUGUUUAGACACACAUAUGAGCUUUCUAAUAAAAGGUGUGUGGGCUUAGAUAAAGGCUUAUCGAAGCAUCUCGUGUCAGAAAUAUGAAAUUUGGUAAGGAAGUCAAUAAAGUAUUGAUUUCUAGAAGUCCAACUGAUUUCUGGAUUUAUGUCACAGCUAGUGGGAGCAUGAAUGUUAUGCAAGUAACAAAAUAAUUGUUAUGCUAGUGGGAGCAUAAUUAUUAUGGUAGGUGUUGCAAGGUAGCAAUGUUAAUUAUAGAAAAUAAAGGUUUCAAUUCGCAAAAUUACAAGCUUAAAAAGUUUUUUGCUAUAAUUAAAGGAGAGAAACUUAUACUUCAUUUCAAUUAUAAAAGUUUAGAUUGAGAUUUUAAUUAAAUUUAGUCAAGGAUUUAUAUGAAUACCAUGUUGAAAUGCUUCAACAUUGGAAAUUUUAUAUAUGGAAAUAUUAUAGCAAAAGACUGGUCAAGUAUCAUGUCUUUAUGUAAGACAUUAUGAAUCGUAUCCCAUAUGCUUCAGGUAUAUGAUCGAUUGCAUAUGUUAUAAUAGUCAUGUGUUCUAAUUUUCCAAACGCCUAGGGCAUUAAUAGGGAAAAAGGAAUAGAAGUGGAUAUGAUUAAAGUGGUUAAACAAUUGUUAAGGACAAUCUAAGGUUCGCCAAGGAUUGGUCACUUAUGGGCAGUUGGAAGUAUAGUAAUGAAUGGACCAUAUUCACAUUACUAUUGCAAAACAGGAUUCUAUUAAUAAUGAGUUGUCGUAUGGAAAUGUUCCCAUAAUGCGAGUUGAAUAUUAAGAAUCUAUGUGUAGGUUCAAAACUUUUAUGCAAGAAGGAUGUUCAAAGGAAUGUGCUUUAAAUAUGAGACUUUGGAUCUAUGGAAUUGUCUUGUAACAAUCUCCAAUGGAAAGUUUUUGUAAUUGACAAAGUCUCUAUGACUUGUGUACACAGUCACUACAAAAGGAUCACUACGUAUAAGUUUAGAAUCUAACAAAUUACAUUAAGUUGCAAGAACUUGGUGCUCUUACACUAACGAUAAGGAUUUGGAAUUGUGAAAUGAGUAUCAUUGGAAAUGUUUAAAAUUGAUUUAUUUCACAAAGUAAGGACCAUAGGUAAAUAUAGCAUGCAUGCUUGGAGAAUGGGAAAACUAUUGUUUUAAUUCAAGUAUUAGUUGAUAAAUCAAAACAAUAUACAAUGAAUAAUGUGUAAUCAAUAUGGUGAUUAAAUAAAAGGUGUUUUAUUUACACUCAAAAGUUUUUGGGCCAUAUAGGAUUAGUAUUAUCCUUGUGUUUCACUUUGCAUGUUUUGACUUCCCGAAUAAUAAGAUUAUUCAAACUAUCCACAGUCGAUCAUACUUUGGAUGUAGGUAUGAAGCAAGACUGUCAUGAGUUGGCUUGUAAGAUUAUCUAAGGUGUUAGACAUAGCAAAAUUCUGCUACACCAUUCAUGAGUGCUUGUGAAAUAAGAUUUGAGCAUUGUAUCAACCUGCACUCACCUGAACCACUUCAUGCAAUUUAUCACGAGUGAUUGUGAGAUGAUAAUAUCAUAUAGUCUUCAAAAUAAGACAUAUGAGUUGUUGACUACGAUUUGGUUGUGCAUUGAUGAUACGAAAACACAUUAGUAACUUGAUGUUAUAAAACGUAUCAUUGUGCAUGACUUAAUGAGUAGUUAGUACAAGCAUAUAAUGUCGAAAUUUAUCUGUUCCUUUUAUCCUAAGAGGAUUAAAAGUGAUAUCUUGGGCCCCUCAAUGAUUCUGUUUUGACUAUGCGGGCCCGGUCAGAACUAAAUUGAUAUGUUCAGUUAUGUUCUAUGUCAGACAAAUCGGAAAUCGGGAAACAAAUUGUAGGACAAUAAGUAUGACUAUGUUCCAUGUGUUUGUCCGCAUAGAUAUCUUGAGAAUAGAGGAAUAUAUGAUCCCUUAUCUGAAGGACGAGUCACUGACCAAGUCAGAGUUCGACAACAGCUUUUAAAAGCUUUCGAUUGCUAAGUCAGAUCCUGAAGGUGCAUUGGUAGGAAUAUUUAUUAGACGUAUCCAAGUGGGAGACUGUUGGAUUUGGUGUCUAAGCCCAUAACUAUAAUUGGGAUGUACUUGACCCGAUUGUAGCAUGGUCCUUUUGGGUUGCCUUCACCAGUGCAAUUUGAUAAGAUGAACUUUUGAGAAUAAGGUUAUUUAUGAUUUAUUAUAUAUUACAAGUAUAAUAUAUUAAUAUGAAAUCAUAUUAUUAUUUAAUUAGUAUUGAUCAAGCAUUAAUUUGGAAUUAAUUUUGUGGUCAAAAGAGACUAAUUAAAUAUAUGGGGAUUGAUUAUGUAAAUCAAUGAUUCUUAUAGUGUGGGCCAAUGAUCCAUGAUUAUGUAUAUGGGAUAAACCAAUGAAAUAAUCCAUGGAUAGUCCAUGGAGAUUAAACCCAUGGAGCAUAAGAAUGUGAAAGUUUAUUAGGGUUUGCAAACAUGUAACCCUAGCACUAUAAAUAGAACCAUCAUGAACCAAAAUUGGUUGCACCUUCUUAGUGAGCUAAGCAACUUAUUCUCUUAAGCCACCUCUUGCAUAUUGGUGUUUGUGAACCAUUAGAGGCAUCACACAUGGGGUGCUCAAGCUUCAAAGGCCAAGAACUACAAGUCCUUCAUAAAGGUAUGUCACUUAACUAGUUGUAUCAUUCAAUUGUUCAAAUGUAUGCUAGUUAGGACAAUGCUUUGGAACAUUGUAAAUAUGCAUGUAUAAUUAGAGAAAACAUAGAUCCAAAGCAUUUACGGUUGCGUGGGCACCAUAGGAGUGUUAUAGUGCUCAAAACCCAUCAAUGUCUGUCCGUACCAAAGCACGAGCUGAGUUACUUGCAAGCUAUCAGCUUCAAUUCGAAGAGGGCCUCCAGGUUUUGAAACAACUUCGCCAGAUUUUUGACCAAAUGGAAAGAAAAGUGAAGGAGCUUCAUGAGAAAAUGUUUGUUUUAUCUAAAAGGAAUCAACUUUUGGUCUCUUAUUUGAGUGAGAAUUUAUGUCAUCAACAAGAGUUAAAAAGGUUGAAUGAGGAUCUCCAUUGAAAAGUGAUGAUGCAAUUAGCAAUCGUGUUGUUGCGAUCAAAGUGCUUGAAGAAGUUUCCCAAAAAAUUUAGUCAUUGAAGUUCCAAUAUAGUGAAAAGGUAUCAUAACUGGAGAAUUCGUUUUCAGGCAAAGAUGUUAGUAUUAAAUUGCUCGAAGAAGAAGUAGCUGCUACCAAAGCUUUAAGAUUAGAUAAAGACGCUUGAAUUGAUUGCUUUGGUGAAUCCUAGUCAUUUUCCAUAAUUUGAGGAUAAGUUAUGGAGUCAUUAAAAUUCAUCUAGAUCAUUUUUCUAAUAACUAAAAUUAUCCCAUAAUCUAUGAUCUAACUAAACUCAUAAUCAAGAUACUUUCAAGUCAACAAUCUGAAAGCAAUUUUGUUUAUCAUAUAAAAACAACAAUUAUUUUAAAACUUUGACAAUUAUCUUGUGGGUUGAUGAGUACAAGCACUACCAUAUCAUAAAAAACAUUUUCAAUGAUCCAUAACAGUUUGUGGUAGUGUUCCCAGUCCAAACCAAGCCAAGAAACUCGAAAUUCUGCAAACAGAGUCUUCACCUCGUCGAGUGCCUGAACUGGACUCGGCGAGUUGCUCUGUUACUGAGUGGACUCGUCAAGUGUGUUCAUGGACUCGGCGAGUUCACCAGCCAGAGGCCAAAAUUUUGACUUUUUCAGCUUUGAAAAACUAGUAAGCAUCACAUAUAAUAGAAAACAAUCUUAGGCUCUGAUACCACUGUUGGGUUUUGAGCACUAUAACACUCCUAUGGUGCACAUGCAACCCUAAAUGCUUUGGAUCUAUGUUUUCUCUAAUUAUACAUGCAUUUUGUUUUUCUAAAGCAUUCACCCUAGCUAGCAUACAAUUGAAGCUUUACAAUAAAAACUUAGUUUGAAUGCUUACCUCUUGAGUGUGGUAGAGUUCUUGACCUUGGAAAGCUUGAGCACCUCAAGUGUGAUGCCUAUAAUGGUUCACAAACACCAAUAUGCAAGAGGAGGCUUAAGAGAAUAAGUUACUUAUCUCAAAGAGAUGGUGUAACCAAUUUUGGCUCAUGAUGGUUCUUAUUAUAGUGUGGCAAAUGCUAGGGUUACACUUUGUAAACCCUAAUGCUCCAUGACUUUUCACAUUUUUAUGCUCCAUGGGUUUAACCUCCAUGGACUAUCAGUGGAUUAACUUAUUGGUUUAGCCCAUCUAGAUAAUCAUGGAUCAUUGGCCCAUACUACAAGAAUCAUUGAUUUACAUAAUCAAUCCCCACAUAUUUAAUUAGUGUCUUUUGACCACCAAAUUAACUCUUGAUCAAUACUAAUUAAAAAAUAUGAUAUUAAUAUAUUAUACUUGUAAUAUAUUAAUAAAUCAUAAAUAACCUUAUUCUCAAAAGUCCAUCCUAUCAAAUUGCAUUGGUGAAGGUAACCUAAAAGGACCAUGUUACUAUCGGUUCAAGUACAUCCCAGUUAUAGUUAUGGGAUUACACACCGAAUCCAACAUUUACAUGUUCAUCUAGUCUCUAAGGUCCAGAUCUCUGUUUGUACACCCUAUCUUGAAGUAUUGAUGACUUUUGGAUCAAGAUCAAGAUCUUUUAGAGUUAGGGUUUGAGCUAAUUAUCUUGGGGUAGGGUAUUAGUGGGUAAAGUUGGAAACUUUACCCUUUUAAGGACAUUUACAGUCUAUAUCUAAAGUAUGGAGCUUAGAUCUGAAGAUUAGUAACUUAAUAUACUAAGAUAGCUUAACAGACUGAAGAACUCGAAGCGUUCAGAGAGGAACUCGACGAGUUAGGUCGAAGUGCCCCGAUUCUAAAAAAGGAAAGACUCGACGAGUUCAGGACAGACUCGACGAUUGGACUUGGAAAGUCUCGAUUCUGUUGAUAGGAGAAACUCGAAGAGUUUGUGAAAAAAUCGACGAGUUGGGUCAUGAUUUUAGGGUUUUAUGAUUUAUGGAACUCGGAGAGUUGAGUCAACCCAGAAUGUUGACUUUGAUCAGGGUGUUGACAUUGACUUUGACCUGGACUUUGACCAAGGUUGACACAUGAAGGACUUUUGGGUAUGGAAUGAUAUCUAAAGGAUUAUUUGAUUUUUACUAAUUGUUAUAGUGAUAAUUGAUGGGUUUUGGUCAUAAGACAUCCUAUGUGCUCAUAUAAACCCUAAUGCUUGGAUCUAGGUUUCUCUAUUGUACAUGCUUUGAAUCCAAGACUAUAAACCCUAAUUCUAGCAUAUGGAAAUCAAUAUUAACAUAUAAAUGGGUUUAAGAACAUACCUUGAUUGUUAUAUAGCAAUAACAAUCCUAAUCCUCCUUGAAUUGACUUUGGAAGGCUUAGAGUCACAAGUGUCACUCCUCUAAUGGUUUACAAACACCAUAAGCAAGUGGAGAAGGUAUAAAGAGAGAGGAGAGAGGUAGGAAUUCUUCCUUAGGACUUCUUGGGAAGGCAUAGACGAAUUCAUGAGCCUUAGGGGGUUUAUAUAGGUGUAAAGAUUAGGGUUUUAGUCCUUAUCCUUAUCUAGUUGCUUGCCCACCAAGUAACCAUAAGAUAAGUCUUAGAAAAACCCUUAUCUCUUGGCCUUGAACGAUUUCAAGGAUAUCCUUAUCCUUGAAUUCGUCCAUCCUUUAAUAAGGAUAACCAUUGCCCUAUUUUGCAACUAUCACAUAAUUACAAUUCAGCCCCUCUAGUUUAAUUAAUUACACUUGAUCACAAAAUUAAUUCUUAAUUAAUUAUUGACCAAUAUUAAUUAAACAAACAUGAUUUCUCCUUUAAUAUUUAUUCUUAUAACAUAUUAAUAAAUCAUAAUAACCUCUCUCUCUUUAUUUAUUUCUCCAAUCAAGUUGCUUUGGUGAAGGCAACCCAAAAGGACCAUGCACCAUCGGGUCAAGUACAUACCAAAAUAGUUAUGGACUUAGACACUAAUCCAACAAUAAUGAUAGCCGCGAAGUCGUUGGAGUAGCCGUUAGAGAUUCCUUCCCGUGAGAUUUUGCAUUCAGCUUUGCGAGGUGAGUUUCCUCCUGUAGGAAUGAUUUGAAGGCACCAAUGUUGGCCCGUUUGUGUAUGCUAGUAUGUUCCGGACUAAGGUCCGAUGCCGGGAAGUGCCCAAUGUAGGUUUAUAUGUUUUCGGACUUCGGGCCAAUGCCGAGGAAAGCACGAGUUCAAAGAGGAACUCGAUGAGUUGGGUCGAAGUGCCCCGAUUCUAAAAAGGAAACACUCGACAAGUUCAGGACAGACUCAACGAGUGGAGUUGGAAAGUCCCGAUUCUGUUGAUAGGAGAAACUCGAAGAGUUCGUGAAAAACUCGACGAGUUGGGUCGUGAUUUCAGGGUUUUAUGAUUUAUGGAACUCAGCGAGUUGAUGGACCAACUCGGCGAGUUGAGUCAACCCAAAAUGUUGACUUUCACCAGAGUGUUGACUUUGAUCAGGGUGUUGACAUCGACUUUGACUUGGACUUUGACCAAGGUUGACACAUGAAGGACUUUUGGGUAUGGAAUGAUAUCUAAAGGAUUAUUGGAUUUUGACUAAGUGUUAUAGUGAUAAUGAUAGUCGAGGCGUUGUUGGAGUAACCGUUAGUGAUUCCUUAUCAUGAGAUUUUGCAUUCAGCUUUGUGAGGUGAGUUUCCUCCUGUAGGAAUGAGUUGAAGGCACCAAUGUUGGGCCGUUUGUGUACGCUAGUAUGUUCCAGACUAAGGUCCGAUGUUGGGCAGUGCCCGAUGUAGGUUUAUAUGUUUUCGGACUUCAGGCCGAUGUCGGGGAAAGCCCGAGGAAUGUUUGUAUGCUUGAUAUCUUUGUGAUUCUUGCAUGUGUUUGUUUUAUAUGUUCCCGGACUUCGGUUUGAUGCUGGGGAAAGCCUGAGGAAUGUUUGUAUGCUUCCGGAUUUCAGUCCGAUGUCGGGCGGGGCACGAGGAAUGUUUAUAUGCUUAUGUUAUGUGAUUAUGUUUAUAUGUAUUUUUUUUAUUUCUUUAUAUGUAUACCGAGCUUUGCUCGAUGCCGAGCGGGGCUAGGUGCUAGAUUUCGAUCUGAUGCGGAGCGGGGCCCAAUGUCGGACUUGUUUGAUGCCGAGCGGGGCCCGAUGUAGCGGGCAAGGCACAUGUUAUGUUAUUAUAUGAUUAUGUGAUUAUGUGUAUGGUAUGUGGUAGUUUGGGGAGACUCACUAAGAUUCGUGCUUAUAGUUUUCAGUUUUGGUUUCAGGUACUUCCGGUAGCAAGGCGAAGAGCUCGAGAUGACUGCAGAGCACGCACCAUGUUUAUAGUGUGAGAUGUUUUUACUCUUAUAUAUUUGGAAGAUGAUUAUAAUGUUUUGAGAUAUAAUGACUUAUGAUUUUAUGUGAUGAUUGGAUAACUAUGGUUUUAUUAAUAACUAAAUGAAAAUUUUGGACCGUAUUUUUGGGAUGUUUAAGUUGGUGUCAGAGCCUUGGUUUGAGGGAUUCGGGCAUGCUCUCGGGUAUGUCUGGACUCAAACUGAGGACUUGGUAUAAAAUUUUAAAAAGAAAACCUUUUUUAAAAGGAUUUUGGAAAUGAGAAAAAAGGUGUGGUGCAUGCAAUCAGUCGAGCUCAAGUAAGUUCUCCCAAAUUAUCCAUACAAGUUUGUUUUGUUAUGAUUAUGAGAACUGAAUGCUAAGUUAGGGCUAAGGAUCUAGGAAUGAUGCCUUUUAUGCAUGUUAUAUGUGUAUGAGAGUUGCAUGCUAGUUUAGGGCUAAAGAUCUAGGAAGGAUGCCUUAUAUGCAUGCCAUAUGAGCUUAUUGAACUGUAUACUAGUACUGAUUAGUCAGUAAUAUGAUGACCUGAGUAGGAUAGGCUUGAUUAUGGUUACUCAAUGCUCGAAUGCUACUUGCUUUGUGUUUUUAGGAUUCCUAGUUAUCUUUAACUAACUAGUAAACGAAUAUGUUAAGUACAUAUUACGAGUACUAAGUAAUUUCAGAAGGUUAGGUUUAUCUCUAUUUCGGAUUUCUCGUUUGAGUCUAACCGUUGUAGGCUAAGACCUUUCAUUCGAAUAAUUAUCUAGUCUUAGUGAUAUGUAAUGGUAUUCGCGAGAUAGCCAGGGGAGAUAGCAGGGACUUCUUAUGCAACUGAUGGCUGAGAGUGAGUUGGCGUUUACCUUAGGGCAAUCCUAGGAUGAGAUUAACGUGUGAAGUCGUAGUAGUAAAAGGGACUUCGUGGAGUCAAGUCAGUUCUUAAGGAAAGUACGGAUAGAUGUGGUAGGUAGUCUGGGCCCAUACUAUUGAAAGAAAAGGAUCCAUAAUCGAAUCAAGGAAGGCUAAGAUGAACCCAGGAGACUUGUAGUAUGUGAGAUCUCUCGAGUUAUGAUGAGUAUUUUGAUGUUUGUUAUGGUGCAUUUUCAGUAUGGUGACGUUGUGCACUAGACCAGUUGGCAGUUCAAGUGCCAGUGAGGGAUCAAGCUUGGGCUCUGGAGCUGGGCAGCUCGACGAGCAGAUGAGAGAGUUCAUUUCAUCUGAGGUCACGUGCAGUAUUUUAGACCAAACUCAUGUGAUCUUCGGUACGGUCAAGGAGGGAAUCUUGGAGAUACUUGAUGAGAUGUUGGGUACAUUCCGCAUCGAGAUGGCGGCCAUGCUAGGGGCGCGCACGAUGACAUUCAGGGAGUUCCGAGCUUGUGGAGCUCUAGAAUAUCAUGGGUCUCGGUGUUGGAUUAAUGUCUAAGCCCAUAACUAUAAUUGGUAAGAUUUGACUCGACCCGGCAUGGUCCAUUUGGGUUGCAUGGCAUCAUGCAUUUGGAUAGACUAAAAUGAGAGAAAUAACACUUAAGGUUUGUUAAUAUAUUAUAAGUUCUAAUAUAUUAAUAAGGUUAUUUAAUUAGUAUUGAUCAAGGAUUAAUUUGGAAUUAAUUAAGUGAUCAAAAAGGAGACUAAUUAAAUAUAUGGGUUAAUUGUGUAAAUCAUUCAUUCUUAUAUAUGUGGGCUUGUGAUCCAAGAUUCCUUAUGUUGGACUAAGUCCAUGGGGUGACCCAUGGAUACUCCAUGGAGGUUAAAAUCCAUGGAGCAUAAGGAAUGGGUAAAGUCAUGAGUUACAUGGUGUAACCCUAAUAGCCACCAUAUAAAAGAAUCCCAUGGCUCAAGAAAUCAUGCAUUAUGUGUGAGUGUGAGGGCUAGACGAUUUCAAGGAGUGUUCAAGUUUCUCUCAAGUUAUUCUAAGUGUAUUUGAUGUUGUGUGAACCAUUUGAGGUGUCACACUUGGGGCACUAGGCACUCAAGCUUCAUGAAGAUAAUCUACAUCAAAGAGGAAUGUAAUUCUAACUUGAUAUAUUCAUAUGAAUCAUGUUAUUAUGCUAGUUAGGAUGAAUACCUUGGAAAGUUCAUAUUUGCAUGUAUAAUAGAGAAAACAUAGAUCCAAGGUAUUUAGGGUUGCAUGUACACUUAGGAGUGUUAGAAUGCUCAAAACCCAACAGUGGUAUCAGAGCCUAGGCUUGUUUUCUUGUUAUACUUGCAAAAGUAGCUGAAAAAUCGAGUUUUGAUGUUGUCUGCCCAGCAGACUCGCCGAGUCCAAGGCAAAAUGCAUCCAACUCGCCGAGUUGGUUCGUGCACUCGACGAGUUGGACCCCCAGACAGCAUAAAUUCGACUUUUUUUGGUGGAAUUGGACUAGGAACAUUACCCUAAGAUGUUUUUGGACUUAUAAACUUGUUUUUGAUGUGGUAAUGUUCAUGCUAAUCCAAUUUCAAAGAUAAUUGUCAAUAGAUUCAUGUUUUGUAUUAGUUUAAGGUUUAGACUAAUUACAUGAAAAAGUUUGAUUUGAAUUAUCUUGUUCUUAUGAGUUGCUUAGAUUAAUAGAAAAGUUGAGUGAAAUAGUUGUUUUCAAUCCAAAUUAAUCUAAGAGUUGAUUCUAAAAUGUGUUUUUGUAACUUGUCCUCAAGUUAUAUGAAAAGUCACAUUUAAGUUUCAUAAAACUCAUAAAAGUUGGCAAUGGUUACAAAAAUGAAGAGUCUUGUCCUCAAGUUAUGGAGGUUCAAGAGUCACUUCAUUAAGUAAUAAAAUGUGUAACCUUAAUUAAUUCCAUAAGUUACAAAAUAAAGAAAAGUUACAUUCUUUUAUUAGUUUAAAGUCUUCCAUAACUUGUCCUCAAGUUAUGGAACUUGAAGAGUUUUUGGAUUAAAACUACUUUAAACACAUAAGUUAUGGAAUUAAUUAGUUUUGAAUAGUUUCAAAACUUGCCCUCAAGUUUUGGAAUUUGAAAAGUUUUCACUUAUGAAUACUUUAAUUCCAAGUUAGCCCUUAGAAUUUUAAAAGUUAAAAUUCAACCCUUAUACUUUAUAAUAUUAUAAGUUAAUAAUAUAUAUAUGUAUAAGAGUAAAGUCAGUCUUACCGUUAGUAGGCCUCAUUCACGAAGCCGGUCUAUAAGGGGGGUAUAAGGUUACUGUCUAUAAAAUGGCAGUUUAAUGGGUGUCCACUCUCACCCACCGCUUCCUUGACUGGUGGAGGGUCAUUAGCCGAACGGGUAGGACAAGGACUAUAAUUCUCCCUUCAUUAAAAUUAUUAAUGAUAAAUACUAAGUAACUAAACCUUUUAUAAAUACCCAAUCUUAGUUACUUAGGAAAAUGUGAAUUUGGUGCUAACCCAUGAAAUUACACUUUGCACUUUGCUUAAGUCAUUAGUGGAGCAUGUGUGGUUAACCGGCACACUAACCUGGACUUAACAAGGUAGGCAAAGGGUAACUUAAUAUUUAUCAUAGUAUCGAUGGAGCGUGUGUGGUUAACCGGCACAUCGAUUAAGGGGUAAAUAUUAAGGGUACCCAGUAUAUUUGCAUGGUUACUUCACACCUUGUUUUGUAAUCCUCAGCAUUCCAGUCACAAAACCUGAAAGCCACACUCGAGAUUGAAACAUGCCAUUGAAAAGUUCAAUGAAUCUCAAAGAUCUAGGAGUUUCAAAAGCUAAUGAUACAUUUCGUUUAUCUUGGUGGAAAUUGGUGAAUCGUCGUUCACCUACCUUCAAAUAUUUUAUAGCUUGGAUUACGACAUACCUAUUAUAUGUUAUAAAGUAGUUUGUUGGGUCCUAGCCUUAAUAUUUCAUAUUGGGUGUCAUAUUCAGGACUUUAAAUCAACUAUCUUGAAUAUCUCGUUCUCCCAAAAAGAUAUCUGGUCUAGACAUUUAUGAUCUUCCCAAAUCUCUUAAAACAAGCUUUCCUAAAUAAAGAUGAUGUCCCAUGGAUAUCGUAAUUCUUUCACCUCCUCCAAUUAUUCGCCCUAACCCACAAGUUCCUAAAAAAUUUAAGGUCACUCAAGCCCUAUUGGCAAGGCAAGAUCUAGGUGUGGUCACAUCUUGGAGAUGUAGUCACAUAUUGACAAGCCGGUAGAGUUGGGUGUCAAAGUCUUGAGAAAGUUGGUGGCUCAACUAAUUUCUAAGUCACAUAGUGAGAUCUUUUGGGAAUCCUAUGAAACAGACUAAGACAAGACCCUUGAUGAUCUUAUCUAUUUGCUAAGAUCAACUUCCUAAAACAUUAUGGACAUUGACAAUAAUGACAUUGGAUAUCCAGUAAAGCUCUCUCUUCCCAAUGGAAAGGGAUCGGCCAUAGUCAACUCGGUUGACCAAAUGGUAAAGAGAGAGGCUAAGUCUGAGAUAGUCCCAUUAUCAAGGGUCCAUAGGUAACUAUUGCCAAAGGAAGGGGCAUUGGUUGCGAAGCUGCCAAAUUUACCUAAGGAUGUUAAAGUCAAUAAGCUUGGCUCUACUUCAGGUAAAGUCUAUUGUCUAACUCUAUUAAGUACAUGCUGAUUUUGAUCGCGAAGAUGGAUUUCAAUCGCAUGGUUCGGUGAUCAGAAUUUUGGGCUAUUACUUAAGAGUUAUGGUAUUUAUAUUGCUUAGGAAUAGAUAACAACAAGGUUUUCAUAUGGAUUAUAAGGAUAAGUUUUUCCGCAAAGUUUUAAAAUAAAAGAAAAAGGUUUUGAUUUUAUUUGUUUUAAGUAUCCUUACAAUGGAAUUUGUGAAAAGUUGUUGCUUAUAAGAUUCCAUUGAUAGCAAUAUUGGAAAAAUCGAUUUGAUUCUUUCGGUUGUGGUAGUGUCUAAUAUUACCAAAUAAGGAAAGAUUCUGAUCACCCAAAGUUCAAUUGGACCGAAACUUGGAAUCAUGGAAGUUGUAUAGUAUGAUGAAUGAGAACUUUCAUCUUGGAAAAAUUAAGACUAAUUCCUUAUGUGAAUAAGGAAAGGACUAAGGGAUUGAAUACACAUUCUUGUGCACUGGUUAAGUCCACCACAAAAGAUCAAGAAGACUAUUCGUCAUGAUUUACUUAAGUUUGGUAAAUAUGGUUAUACUUAUAAGUUUAAGUAUAAGUCUGUAGCAUUGGAGAAGUUUCAAUGUGAGACAGAACGAAUAAGAAGAAUCAAAGUAUGGCAGAAAGAUAAAAGUUUCUCAAAUCUGAAAAGAUGGGAGAGUACUUUAGUAUCAUGUUUAUGAUCAUCUUAAUGAUUAAGAUACCAUAUCACAAUUGGUCCUCUAAAGUCAUCUUAGUGCAUUCUUAUGACUAAGAAGAGGAGUCAUGAAUUGUUGAAAUGGUUAAAUCAAAAGGAUGAGUCAUACUUCGUUCCAAAACAAUUCUUAGAGUCAUACUCCAAGAUUGUAACUUGAGUGACAUAUCUUAAAGAGGGUUUGUUAACACUAGUCAAAUGUAAGAGUAAAAGGUUAUCUACUCUUGUACAUUUGAAAUUGGUAAGUUGUGAUGUUUUGGAUAAAACAUAGACCAACUUAGGCCAAUUGUGUAAAGUGUUUGUCUUGAUUAGAAUCCACACUAUCUCUUGAAUAUCUGACAAGAAAGUCUUAUAUUUCAAAAGGACAGUGGGAGUCUUACAGGUCUUGAAAGUCUCAAGGACUUAAUCAAGAAUAAAACCUGAAGUUCUUCACUAGCACACGACUUGAGGUUCAUAACCUAUCGUGUUGACAUAUUAUGUGCCCAUUCCAGUUAAAGUUAGCUUUGCAUAUGAGGUCUUAGAGUUCUCAAUUGGUUGCACAACAACUUGGAAGCAAUGGCAGGUCCUUGAGCUGCCAAGUGGCAAGAAAUUAAGAUUGAGUUCAAUCCAUAUGAGUUUGGAUUUGUCAUUAACCUUUUCUUGUGACUAUGGUUUUGACAAUUCCCAUGGAUAAGAACACAUACACCAUUAAAUUUAAGUGUCAUAAGGUUUCUCUCCGAUUCAUGAAAAUGAUGGUGAGGAAACACUUUCACUAAGUAGAUUUUAGCUAGAUAGCAAUUGUGAUAUUUGCAUUCUCAAAGUCGUUAGUGGAGCGUGUGUGGUUAACCGGCACACUAACAUGGACUUGUGAGAAGUGGCAAAGGUCUAAACAAUCGAGACUAUGAUUACGGCAUCCCUUUUCAUAGUUCUUAAAAUUGUUUAGACACACCUGUGAGCUAUCUAAGAUAAGGUGUAUGAUAUUGAUAAAGUUUUAUCAAAGCAAUCUAGUAUCAGAAAUCUGAACUUUGGUAAGAAAGUCAAUAAAGUAUUGUUUUUUAGAAGUCCAGCUGAUUUCUGAGUACAUGUCAAAGCUAGUGGGAGCAUAAGUGUUAUGCUAAUAAUCAUCAUGUUAGUGGGAGCAUGAUAAUUAUGAUAAGUAUUGCAAGUUAGCAAUGUUAAUUAUAGAAAACAAAAGUUUCAAUUGGGAAAAAGUUGUUUUGCUAUAAUUAAGGGAGAGGAAAUUAUGCUUCAUCUCAAAUCUAUAAGCUUAGAUCGUGAGGUUUUAAUCAUUUAGUCAAGGAUAUAUAUGAAUUUCAUGUUGGAAUGGCUCAACAUAAGGAAAUUCUGUAUAUGGGUCCAUUAUUUGCGUUCUAAAAUUCGAUUAUGAUUACGGCAUCCCUUUUCAUAAUCUGAAUUAUGAGAACUUGGCAAAUUGAAAUGGAAAUAUUAUAGCAAAAGACUGGUUUAGUCUUUAUGUGAGACAUCAUGAAUCGUGUCCCAUAUGCUUCGGAUAUAGGAUUGAUUACAUGUACUAUAUUCAUCCGUUCUAAAAUUUUCCAAAUGCUUGGGGCAUUAAGAAGGGAAAAGGUCUAAAAUUGGAUAUGACUAAAAGGAUUAAGCAAUUGUUGAGGACAAUCUAAGGUCUACCAUAUAUUGGUUUCUCAAGGACAGUUGGAAGUAUAGUGAUAAUUCUGGAAGGACCAUAUUGACAUAAUCUGUAAGGAGGCAACUCUUGUUCAGAAGUGAUAGUCAAAAUGGAAUCUGGAAAUGUUUCAAAGUUAGAAAUUAUUAAAUCUGUGUAAGAUUAGGAAACUUAAUGCAAGAAGGAUGUUUCCAAGGAGUUGAUCUCCUUUGGAAUGCUCUGUAAUGAUUGUUGUCAAGUCUUUCUGACUUUGUGCAUAAUCAUUACAAGAGGAUCAAUGCAUAUAAGUUUAGAAUCUAACAGAUUUCAGUAAAUGGCAUGAAUUUGGAAUUCUUGCAUUUGCAGUAAGGAUUUGGGAGUGUGAAAAGAGAAUCAUUGAAGUUAUGUUCAAUUGAUCUAGUUCACAAAGUAAAGAUCAUAGACAAACAUAGUAUGCAUACUUGGUGUGUGGCAUGACUAGUGUUUAAGAAAACAUAGUGUACAUGCUUGGAGCAUGGGACAACUAUUGUUUUAAAUUCAAGAAUAAAGUUGAUAGCUGAAACAGUAUACAAUGAAUAAUGUGUAAUCAUAUGGUGAUAAAUAAAAGGUGUUUUAUUUAUGUUCAAAGGUUUUGAUACCAUAUUGGAUUCAAUUAUUUUUGUGUUUCACUUUGCAUUUUUUAACUUCCAGAAUAACUAGGUCAUUGUUAUGGAUGACUAAGUUGUUCAAACCAUCCACAGUCGGUCAUAUGUUGGAAGUUUAUAUGAAUCAAGAUUUUCAUGGGUUGGCUUGUAGAGGUCUAAGGUGUUGGACAAAGGGCUACAACACUCAUGAGUGCUCAUAAGUUCUGAGUAUUGGAUUCAACCCGCGCUCAUUGGAAUCACUUCAUGGAUUUUAUCACGAGUGAUCAUGAGACGAU